Molecule: ribosomal RNA, 403 nt
Filed under: Bacteroidota bacterium
Lineage: Bacteria; Pseudomonadati; Bacteroidota
Description: Bacteroidetes bacterium partial 16S ribosomal RNA
Rfam family: Bacterial small subunit ribosomal RNA
Source: RNAcentral
UGGGGAAUAUUGCACAAUGGGGGAAACCCUGAUGCAGCGACGCCGCGUGAACGAAGAAGGUAUUCGUAUCGUAAAGUUCUGUCCUAUGGGAAGAUAAUGACAGUACCAUAGAAGAAAGCUCCGGCUAAAUACGUGCCAGCAGCCGCGGUAAUACGUAUGGAGCGAGCGUUGUCCAGAAUUAUUGGGCGUAAAGGGUACGCAGGCGGUUUAAUAAGUCGAAUGUUAAAGAUCGGGGCUCAACCCCGUAAAGCAUUGGAAACUGAUAAACUUGAGUAGUGGAGAGGAAAGUGGAAUUCCUAGUGUAGUGGUGAAAUACGUAGAUAUUAGGAGGAAUACCAGUAGCGAAGGCGACUUUCUGGACACAAACUGACGCUGAGGUACGAAAGCGUGGGGAGCAAACAGG